This is a long non-coding RNA of Cucurbita moschata (crookneck pumpkin), 1223 nucleotides long. RefSeq lists it as uncharacterized. NCBI's taxonomy places the organism in Eukaryota, Viridiplantae, Streptophyta, Magnoliopsida, Cucurbitales, Cucurbitaceae. The transcript has 4 exons. The record is from RefSeq and is a predicted model, not a curated record.
UUAAUAUAAUUUUCUGGUAGUACUAGAAAUGAUUUUCAUGCCAUUUCAACUCCAAUCAUUGCAACUUUAAGCUUGAUGCUUCAAUGGCGGCAAUCGAUGCCAAGCACAUGUUCGCCUUCGUGCCAUUUUCCUUCUCGAUUCUGUUUCUUCAGACGCUACUUAAUCAAGUUCAGUUCAACCCUAUCCCUUCGUCUCUAAACUCUCGCUUCAACGAUUCCAGCUUCUUCGGCUGCUUCUUUGAAAGCUAGGAUCGAGCCAUCGGUUUGUAUUCUCUGUUCUCUUGCUUCCUCAAUCAAUGAAGUUAUAGGAUUGAAUCUGUCGUUGGUAACUCCUCUGCUUGGUGUUUGAGAGAAUCGCAAAGAACGGAGAGGAUGAAUCCUGCAGAAUAAAUGCUGAAUGAAAUGGCCAAUGGUGUGUAUUGCACCGUUAUAUAUGUUUUUGAGUGAUUUAACCAUGUCAAUUCCAAAUUUCUUUCGGAAGGGAGUCCAUUGGUGGAUAUCAAUUGGAAUGUGGCACAUGUGUACAUAGUCUUUCACUGGCAGUGACUCAUUUUGACUUGACGAUAGGCAGGGGAACUAACAAGGGCGAAUCCAUGCCUGCUGUCACGGAGAUUUUUAGGACUAGAUUGGUGCCUUUAUGAGAGGGGCUGGCGUAGAGGUUUGUCAGUAUUGCUUGGUUUUCCUGGCCGAAAAGGAGUUUGAGUUGAUAAAAGAUUUCAGGCACCAGUCUUAGGUGGAAACGUAAUUGAUGCAAGUUGUGAAAGUGGAAUGUUUUCAGGAAUCGUGCUGCUGCCAAGAGUGAGUUAUUUUCCUCUAUUGUUGCUUUGGGCUACUCGGAGAACAUGUUAAAGCAGUUAUAUGAAUCAUUAAACAAGAGGAAAACUUCCCUCAGAGAAAAAGUAUUUGUGUUAUCUAAACAUGACCUUGUAGAUGUCUGUCUAGGAGGUCCAGGUCCAAGUUGUGAUUCUUGUGAUUCAUGUCAGCCUAAGGACGGGUUUCUUUCAUGUCAUUUUUUGUUAUUCAACUCAUGUCAUUUUGAGUUUAGUUAUUCCAGCCUUGUCCAGCACUUAACUUUGUGUUAUUGAGAACAAGAAGAUAAGAGGGUACGCUAGAAGGAGGGGUUGAACCUCCGACCUUGUGGUUAACAGCCACACGCUCUAACCAACUGAGCUAUUCCAGCCCGUUAGUGGUGCUUAAUGUAUUUCAGCACUUAACUUUGUGUUA